Molecule: ribosomal RNA, 501 nt
Filed under: uncultured bacterium
Lineage: Bacteria
Description: partial 16S ribosomal RNA
Rfam family: Bacterial small subunit ribosomal RNA
Source: RNAcentral
AUUGAACGCUGGCGGCAUGCCUUACACAUGCAAGUCGAACGGCAGCACGGGUGCUUGCACCUGGCGGCGAGUGGCGAAAGGGGGAGGAAUACAUCGGAACGUACCUUAUCGUGGGGGAUAACGCAGCGAAAGCUGGGCUAAUACCGUAAACGCCCUGAGGGGGAACGCGGGGGACCGAACUACCUCGCGAGAUUAGGGCGGCCAAUGCCUGAUUAGCUUGUGGGUGGGGUAAAGGCCCACAAAGGCGACGAUCAGUAGCUGGUCUGAGAGGACGAUCAGCCACACUGGGACUGAGACACGGCCCAGACUCCUACGGGAGGCAGCAGUGGGGAAUUUUGGACAAUGGGGGCAAGCCUGAUCCAGCAAUGCCGCGUGAGUGAAGAAGGCCUUCGGGUUGUAAAGCUCUUUUGUCAGGGAAGAAACACCGGCUCUAACACAGUCCGGGAAUGACGGUACCUGAAGAAUAAGCACCGGCUAACUACGUGCCAGCCGCCGCAGUAA